Molecule: long non-coding RNA, 839 nt
Organism: Bombus pyrosoma
Lineage: Eukaryota; Metazoa; Arthropoda; Insecta; Hymenoptera; Apidae
Exons: 2
Source: RefSeq, a predicted model, not a curated record
GCAUGUACGAUCUCCAAGAUUCAGCAAGACCAGUCCACACUAGUGCACUCUAUAAUAAAAUUAUGGAAUCUUUAACAAUAAAAUACAAGGGAAAAGUAUUAAAUAAUACACUGAUGCAGAAAAUAUAUACAAGAGUAGUUUCUUAAUUGCAUUGGACAGUAGUGCACGAAUUGAGAAAUAGUUCGACCUGUUUAUCAAGAUUCGCCAAGGGCACGUACGAGGCCGCAGCCCGCGGCGUGUCACGUCGGAGAAUACUUUCUGCAACUUCCGGUCCUUCCUACAUCAUGCAUUGCAUGCAGUAAGGCUGAUGUUAAUAAACGUUAAUGACCAAAUAAUCAGCAACUAAAAUAUAUGUCGUUAGUAAAUUGAUUAUGUGAUAAAGUGACAGCAGAUUUGAGAAAUUUUACUUAUAAUAUUUGUUUUUUAGAGAAUGUGCUUGAUUAAAUGUCGCAAAUAAUUAUUUUAAUCGAAAAUUAUGGAUAAUACAAAGUAUUAUAUUUGGUGAGCUUAAUUACUUAUACAUAUAUAUUAAAUCAACCAUGCAUCAUGAAAUGACCAUGGAUUACUGAAUCAUAACUUCAACAAAAAGGAUUGCAUCAUAUUUAGGAAUGAAUGCUUUGUUCAACAUAGUAUUAACAUUGCGGGAUUUGAAAUCAAAGAGACGUGAAUCGUUUAAAUGUAAUUGGCACUAUGCAAAUGAAAUGACUCGAUUCUGAUCAGAAUCGUUUUGAAAAUGUUAAUGCACACAUUUAUUGCAUGCUGUACAAACACUGGCGAUAUCCCUGUAAAAAGAUGUGGAAGUAUAAUUAUGUACACAAAUAUAUUAAGCUGAACCUAAA